Molecule: transfer RNA, 85 nt
Filed under: Felis catus (domestic cat)
Lineage: Eukaryota; Metazoa; Chordata; Mammalia; Carnivora; Felidae
Rfam family: tRNA
About the family: Transfer RNA (tRNA) molecules are approximately 80 nucleotides in length.
Source: Rfam by way of RNAcentral
GCCUGGGUGGCUCAGUCGGUUGAGCAUCCGACUUCGGCUCAGGUCAUGAUCUCGCGGUCCGUGAGUUCGAGCCCCGCAUCAGGCU